Harpegnathos saltator (Jerdon's jumping ant) is the source of this 844-nucleotide long non-coding RNA. RefSeq lists it as uncharacterized. Lineage: Eukaryota; Metazoa; Arthropoda; Insecta; Hymenoptera; Formicidae. The transcript is spliced from 3 exons. The record is from RefSeq and is a predicted model, not a curated record.
CAUGCAUGGAGUCUUAGCUUUAAGAAUAAAGAAAGUACAUGUGUUAGAUCAUUGUAUCAUAUUGUGAAUCUCCAAUUAUGAGAUCUGUAUUUGCCACCGUAAUAUUUAGAGUGUAAGCAAAAUCAAGUCUAAGUUAGCGAAGUUCCAAAUGAAAACUUGGCGAUAUAUUCUCGAAAUCAAGUGAUUAAUAUAGAUCAUCGUGGCUUCAAUUUACCCCGAGGUACAUGCAGCUACAUGUGCAGAUAUAUAGCAGCUACAUAGCAUUUGUAACUUUGUAUUGGAGGUUAAGAUUACAUGUAUAAUACACCGCCAGCUAUGUAUAUACAUACUCUUACAUAUAUUUCAGGUUUAUUUUAGAUCAUACAUGGCAAAUUAACGACAAAAUGUUAGUAUUCAGAUAAAAGAUUAAAUUCAAUAUUGUAAAUUUUCAUUUUUCUAAAAUAUAUAUUCUGUAUUUCAUGCAUACUCCGGCAUUCACGAAUGUCAAAUUCAAUGGAGAUUUUGGUGAUUGAGGUCUUGUUGGUUUUACUCGAUAAAAAUGAGAGAGAAUGUAUGCUAUUUCCAAAGUGACUAGUGAUCGAUACAAGAAAGAAUAAGUCAGCAAAUUGCAAGCUGAAUCUUUUUCCAAUAUUUAUCAUGCUACGCUUAUUGUAAGGGACAGCGUCAGAAUCUUUGGGCUCGAGCGCAUUCCUGAAAAUAUUAUUAUCUUAAAUCUUAUUAUUACUUACCUUUCAAACUUUUUUCGAGAGGCUAGUUAUCAGUGUUUAAUAAUAUAAUUACUGUAUAAUAAAUUUCUUCACAUAGAUUGUGGUAUGUUAUGCUAGAAAUUUAAAUAAAUAUAAAU